This 230-nucleotide ribosomal RNA is filed under the name uncultured bacterium. RNAcentral's name for it is "partial 16S ribosomal RNA". It matches the Rfam family "Bacterial small subunit ribosomal RNA", at positions 562 to 791 of the family's 1533-position model. The record is from RNAcentral.
AAAGCGUGCGCAGGCGGUUUUGUAAGUCUGAUGUGAAAUCCCCGGGCUCAACCUGGGAAUUGCAUUGGAGACUGCAAGGCUAGAAUCUGGCAGAGGGGGGUAGAAUUCCACGUGUAGCAGUGAAAUGCGUAGAUAUGUGGAGGAACACCGAUGGCGAAGGCAGCCCCCUGGGUCAAGAUUGACGCUCAUGCACGAAAGCGUGGGGAGCAAACAGGAUUAGAUACCCCGGU